UCACAACUAUGUACACUCCUCUGGGCUCUUCAGGGAAAGAGCAGGGAUAAAAAUGAAAAUAAAUGUAAAAAUAAAAAGGUAUUAGAAACCAUAUGGAAAUACAAUUAAUUUGCAUAUUUGCUCUGAGUGUAGAAUUUAGACUUGGAAUGUUAUGCUUUCCCUAAAUUUUAUUUUUUUAAAAACCAAAAAGCAGAACAUAAGCCAGAGGUUACUAUGGAGAAACAUUCUCAAAGAAUAUGAAGACCUCUUUUGUGGUAUAUUUUAUUUUCCUCUUGUUCAGAAACUCCUUCUCAGCUUGUGCACCUUUUCCAUCAUCCUGAUCAUCUGCCAUGGAACCUGCACAAUACAUAGGAUGCCAGCACAGUUCAUAAACGGUAUAUGGGUGUAUCCAAAUUACUGUACCGAUCCUUACGACGGAAGCAUCCAUGCACAUGCGACCGUGUGGAAUACAGCACAUUGCCUAAGAUGUGGCUGCGGCCAUGGUUAUAUAGGAUGCUGUGCCAGAAUUCAAGGAGUUCCAACUUUUCCCGGCUGCAUUGCAAGGCAAGAUCCUGUGUCAUGUCAAUAUUUCCUUUAUAGAGUUGACGAACCCUCAGAGCUGUGUCUUACACAUUAAAAAACAAC
Long non-coding RNA from Hemicordylus capensis (graceful crag lizard), 624 nucleotides. RefSeq lists it as uncharacterized. The transcript has 3 exons. NCBI's taxonomy places the organism in Eukaryota, Metazoa, Chordata, Lepidosauria, Squamata, Cordylidae. The record is from RefSeq and is a predicted model, not a curated record.